RNAcentral lists this ribosomal RNA (211 nucleotides) under uncultured bacterium. RNAcentral's name for it is "partial 16S ribosomal RNA". It matches the Rfam family "Bacterial small subunit ribosomal RNA", at positions 1290 to 1500 of the family's 1533-position model. The record is from RNAcentral.
AGUUCGGAUUGCAGGCUGCAACCCGCCUGUAUGAAGUUGGAAUCGCUAGUAAUCGCGGAUCAGCAUGCCGCGGUGAAUACGUUCCCGGGCCUUGUACACACCGCCCGUCACACCAUGAGAGUCGGGAACACCCGAAGUCCGUAGCCUAACCGCAAGGAGGGCGCGGCCGAAGGUGGGUUCGAUAAUUGGGGUGAAGUCGUAACAAGGUAUC